Wallemia ichthyophaga EXF-994 is the source of this 2772-nucleotide non-coding RNA. NCBI's taxonomy places the organism in Eukaryota, Fungi, Basidiomycota, Wallemiomycetes, Wallemiales, Wallemiaceae. The record is from Rfam.
AGUCUUAACUAAAAGGAUUCUAAGGUAGCUAAAUUCCUUGGCUGAUGUACCUUUUGCAUAAUGAGUCAGCGAGUAAAUAUUAAUAGCAAGAUAUAAAAGAAGUCCUAGUGAAAACGACUUAAUCAUUUUUAAUGGUUAUGGUAGAAGUUAUUAAUAUUUGACCCGAAACCUUAAGAUUUAGCCAUGGUCAGAUUUAUUGGAUCGAACAGGUGAGUGUUGCAAAACUCUCUGAUGAACUGUGGCUGGCGAAGUGAAAGACAAAUCUGUUGAGGAUAGCUGGUUCUCCACGAAAUAUAUCUUAGUAUAGACUGUAAAGAAAAAUUCUAAUCCUGUACAGCACUGAUAUUCAUAUCAUUUUUGAUUAAAUAGGGGGGUUUAUUAAACUCUACCUUUGAAUGUUAACCUCGGAAUUGGUUAGAAUGAUAUUACAGAUUCAGACUAUUUGUGAUAAGGUGGAUAGUCAAAAGGGAAACAGCCCUGAACACAUGUUAAAGUUCUUAAAUUAAUAUUAAGUGAAUGUAAGGAUGUUUUAAUUCGAUGACAGUUAUGAAGUGUAUCUGGAAGUCGUAAUCUAAUAAUGAAAGUGUAACAACUCAAUAACCUACUGGUAUUUUAUUUAGAAAUAAAUAAUUUACUGAAUUGAAGCGCCGAAAAUUCAUAGGAUCUUUAAAUAUUAUACUGAUACUGUGUUUGCAUAUAAAAAUUAUAUGUAAGGUAGUGGAGUGUUCUAUUAUAGGACGAAGGUUAGUUUUUAUAUUAACUGGACUUAAUAGAAGUAAUAAUGCUGAUAUGAGUAACGUAAUAACAGGUUAAACCCUGUACCUCUUAAGCGAUAGGUUUCUUAUUAAAUGUUAAACAGAAUAAGUUUAAACGGUCUCUAAGGUAAAUAAACUUAUGUUUAUGACUGAUGAGGAAUUUAUAUAAAAAGUUUUUCUUUUAAAACUCAGGAAAAUGUAUAAAUAUUCACCGUACUAAAAACCGACACAGGUUCGCGCAUAGAGUAUAUCAAGAGGUGAAUCAAUUACCCUUAAGGAACUCGGCAAAUUGCACUCGUACGUUAGACAAUAAGAGUGACCACACUAAGUGGUAUCAUACAAUCGGGACCUGCGACUGUUUCCCAAAAACACAGAUCUCUGCAACGAUUAAUUUCUUAGUAUAGGGAUCGAGUCCUGCUCAGUGCCAAGACGCUAAAUAGGUAACUCUAAUUAAUAGUUAGGGAAGACUUAUAACGUCUGGUAAUCAGCAGUCUUAACUAAAAGGAUUCUAAGGUAGCUAAAUUCCUUGGCCUUAAGGAACUCGGCAAAUUGCACUCGUACGUUAGACAAUAAGAGUGACCACACUAAGUGGUAUCAUACAAUCGGGACCUGCGACUGUUUCCCAAAAACACAGAUCUCUGCAACGAUUAAUUUCUUAGUAUAGGGAUCGAGUCCUGCUCAGUGCCAAGACGCUAAAUAGGUAACUCUAAUUAAUAGUUAGGGAAGUCUUAUAACGUCUGGUAAACAGCAGUCUUAACUAUAAGGAUUCUAAGGUAGCGAAAUUCCUUGGCCACUAAUUAUGGUCCUGCAUGAAUGGAAGCACGAUGGGUCCACUGUCUCAAGGGUAAGUUCAGUGAAAUUGGAGUGGUCGUGAAGAUACGAUCUAACUGCAGAUAGACGGGAAGACCCUAUGCAGCUUUACUGCAGCUAACUAUUGUAAUAGUAAAAAUUCCGUUCAGGGUAGAUGGUAGUGUAUAUUAAUUUAUACACGUUGAUGAGACACCAUCCUUAAUUUUUCACUAUUAUUCACCUAUUAUUGGAACAGUAGUUAGUGGGUAGUUUGCUUGGGACGAGCUUCUCUUAAAAGGUAUCAGAGAAAUGCAAAGUAAAACCAAGUUCGGAUGGAAACCGAAAGAUUGUUGUAAAUCUAAGUUAAUGUAAUAGUUUAAGUUUUGCUGACUGUGAGACAGAUAUGUCAAUCAGGUACGCAAGUAGGUUAUAGUGAUCCGCCAGUACCGUAUGAGAGGGCUGGCGCUAAUUAGAUAAAAGCUAGGUCUUAUAAAAUAGAAAGUUUUAUUCCCAUAUUUAUUAUCUAAUAGAUAAGACAAACCAUAAAACAAAUAUAAUUUUUUAAGCGUGGCCUUAAUCACUGAUUAAGAAUAUAAUUUUAUGCUAGAAUGUACUAAUAUUUAGAUAGCUAGUAAUAAUACUAAAAAUGUUAUAUGAAUAGUACAAAUUAGCAGUUAUAAUAAUUAAUUAAGAGAUUUUAUAUUAUAGCUUAUUUUUUAUAAGUAAGUAUGAAUAAAUCCAUGAAUAAUCUUUAAAUAGAUUUAUAAAUUGACGCUAGGGAUAACAGCUUUAUCCCCGGAGAGAGUCCAUAUUGUCCCGGGGGCUUGAGACCUCGAUGUCGACUCAUCCUAGCUCAGGUGUGCAUCAGCACCUAAGAGUUCAACUGUUCGUUGAUUAAAAGGGUACGCGAGUUGGGUUCAGUACGUCGUAAGACAGUACGUUCCCUAUCUUCUGCAGUAACAAUAUGUUAAUGUUAGAGCAUUAUCUAGUACGAAAGGACCGAUAAAUGAUCUAUCUCUGGUGACACAGUUGUAAUUUUUAUUGCAUUUGCUGUUAAGCUAAAUAGAUUUGUGAGAAGUUCUGAAUGCAUCUUAAGAACGAAACCAACUAACGGAAACAUACUAUUCUAAUAUAUUUAGAAUAAAAAGAGGAAGACUACCUCUAUAGGCAAAUAAUGUUAAUUCGUAAGAAUGUAGUUUGUUUGUACUAAUUUUUUAUAAAUGACUUA